AGGACAACAGGAAGACUUCCAUCACUGUCUGUAUUCUAAGCAGAAGGCUCCCCACAAGAGCAGACCUCCUCCCAGCCUGGAAGGGACUCAGCUCUAGGAUUCUAGACUGUCUCCACAUCUCAACAACGUGCCUGAGAGGACAGCAGGCAGAAGCCUACAGAGUUUGGCAGGUCCCUGUGUCACUCAGCACCAGCUAUGAGGAGCAACGCCAGACACUCGCUGAUGGAAGCAAGAAGAAAUCUAUUUGGCUGA
Long non-coding RNA from Cygnus atratus (black swan), 252 nucleotides. RefSeq lists it as uncharacterized. The record is from RefSeq and is a predicted model, not a curated record. NCBI's taxonomy places the organism in Eukaryota, Metazoa, Chordata, Aves, Anseriformes, Anatidae. The transcript is spliced from 3 exons.